GACGUGAGGUGCGAGCAUUAUCCGGAUUCACUGGGCGUAAAAGGUUGCGUAGGCUGUCCGAUGCAUUUUAUUUGAAAGGCUGUGGCUUAACCACAGAUUUGGAUAAAAUAUGAUCGGACUUGAUGACUAAAGGGGGUACUGGAACUCUACAUGUAGCAGUGAAAUGCGUUGAUAUGUAGAGGAACACCAAAGGCGUAGGCAGGUACCUGGGUAGUCCAUGACGCUGAGGCACGAAAGCAUGGGGAGCGAAAAGG
This 254-nucleotide ribosomal RNA is filed under the name uncultured prokaryote. RNAcentral describes it as "partial 16S ribosomal RNA". It matches the Rfam family "Bacterial small subunit ribosomal RNA", at positions 524 to 776 of the family's 1533-position model. The record is from RNAcentral.